CAGCUCUUGACAUGGAACGACGAUACUCGGAGACGGGUAUCUCCAGCUUGCUGGCGUUCACACAGGUGCUGCAUGGCUGUCGUCAGCUCGUGUCGUGAGAUGUUGGGUUAAGUCCCGCAACGAGCGCAACCCCCACCUUUAGUUGCCAUCAGGUUAAGCUGGGCACUCUAAAGGAACCGCCGGUGACAAGCCGGAGGAAGGCGGGGAUGACGUCAAGUCCUCAUGGCCCUUAUGGGCUGGGCUACACACGUGCUACAAUGGUGGUGACAGUGGGAUGCUGAGGGGCGACCCCGAGCAAAUCUCAAAAAGCCAUCUCAGUUCGGAUUGUUCUCUGCAACUCGAGAGCAUGAAGUUGGAAUCGCUAGUAAUCGCGGAUCAGCAUGCCGCGGUGAAUA
Molecule: ribosomal RNA, 395 nt
Filed under: uncultured bacterium
Lineage: Bacteria
Description: bacterial SSU rRNA
Rfam family: Bacterial small subunit ribosomal RNA
Source: RNAcentral